CCUACGGGAGGCAGCAGUGAGGAAUAUUGGUCAAUGGGCGAGAGCCUGAACCAGCCAAGUCGCGUGAAGGAUGACGGCCCUACGGGUUGUAAACUUCUUUUGUCAGGGAGCAAUUGAGGCCACGUGUGGGCUUAGCGAGAGUACCUGAAGAAAAAGCAUCGGCUAACUCCGUGCCAGCAGCGGCGGUAAUACGGAGGAUGCGAGCGUUAACCGGAUUUAUGGGGUUUAAAGGGUGCGUAGGCGGAAUAGCAAGUCAGGGGUAAAAAUUCGGGGCUCAACCCCGUCGUGCCGUUGAAACUGAUGUUCUUGAGUGGGCGAGAAGUAUGCGGAAUGCGUGGUGUAGCGGUGAAAUGCAUAGAUAUCACGCAGAACUCCGAUUGCGAAGGCAGCAUACCGGCGCCCAACUGACGCUGAAGCACGAAAGCGUGGGUAUCGAACAGGAUUAGAUACCCCGGUAGUC
This 460-nucleotide ribosomal RNA is filed under the name uncultured bacterium. RNAcentral's name for it is "partial 16S ribosomal RNA". It matches the Rfam family "Bacterial small subunit ribosomal RNA", at positions 338 to 795 of the family's 1533-position model. The record is from RNAcentral.